GGGAGAUUAGCUCAGCUGGUUCAGAGCAUCUGCCUUACAAGCAGAGGGUCGGCGGUUCGAACCCGUCAUCUCCCA
This 75-nucleotide transfer RNA is filed under the name Cryomorphaceae bacterium. RNAcentral describes it as "tRNA-Val". It matches the Rfam family "tRNA". Rfam says of the family: Transfer RNA (tRNA) molecules are approximately 80 nucleotides in length. Lineage: Bacteria; Pseudomonadati; Bacteroidota; Flavobacteriia; Flavobacteriales; Cryomorphaceae. RNAcentral also lists the same sequence under 2 other names. The record is from RNAcentral.